RNAcentral lists this ribosomal RNA (816 nucleotides) under uncultured bacterium. RNAcentral's name for it is "bacterial SSU rRNA". It matches the Rfam family "Bacterial small subunit ribosomal RNA", at positions 92 to 895 of the family's 1533-position model. The record is from RNAcentral.
UUAGUGGCGAACGGGUGAGUAACACGUGAGGAACUUGCCCAUGAGCGGGGGACAACAUUCGGAAACGGAUGCUAAUACCCCAUAGGUGGAUUGGUCGCAUGACGAAUUCAUUAAAGGUGGCUUCGCUACCACUCAUGGAUAGCCUCGCGGCGUAUUAGCUAGUUGGUAAGGUAAUGGCUUACCAAGGCAGUGAUACGUAGCCGACUUGAGAGGGUGAUCGGCCACACUGGGACUGAGACACGGCCCAGACUCCUACGGGAGGCAGCAGUAGGGAAUCUUCCACAAUGGGUGCAAACCUGAUGGAGCAAUGCCGCGUGAGUGAAGAGGGUCUUCGGAUCGUAAAGCUCUGUUGUUAGAGAAGAACACGUGCUAGGUAACUACUAGCGCCUUGACGGUAUCUAACCAGAAAGUCACGGCUAACUACGUGCCAGCAGCCGCGGUAAUACGUAGGUGACAAGCGUUGUCCGGAUUUAUUGGGCGUAAAGGGAGCGCAGGCGGUCUGUUUAGUCUAAUGUGAAAGCCCACGGCUUAACCGUGGAACGGCAUUGGAAACUGACAGACUUGAAUGUAGAAGAGGAAAAUGGAAUUCCAGGUGUAGCGGUGGAAUGCGUAGAUAUUUGGAGGAACACCAGUGGCGAAGGCGAUUUUCUGGUCUAACAUUGACGCUGAGGCUCGAAAGCGUGGGGAGCGAACAGGAUUAGAUACCCUGGUAGUCCACGCUGUAAACGAUGAGUGCUAAGUGUUGGGGGCUUUCCGGCCCUCGGUGCUGGAGCUAACGUAUUAAGCNNNCCGCCUGGGGAUUACGACCGCAAGGUU